Molecule: ribosomal RNA, 496 nt
Filed under: uncultured bacterium
Lineage: Bacteria
Description: partial 16S ribosomal RNA
Rfam family: Bacterial small subunit ribosomal RNA
Source: RNAcentral
AUUGAACGCUGGCGGAAUGCUUUACACAUGCAAGUCGAACGGUAGAGGGGGCAACCCCUCGAGAGUGGCGAACGGGUGAGUAAUAUAUCGGAACGUGCCCAGUCGUGGGGGAUAACGUAGCGAAAGUUACGCUAAUACCGCAUACGAUCUAAGGAUGAAAGCGGGGGAUCGCAAGACCUCGCGCGAUUGGAGCGGCCGAUAUCAGAUUAGGUAGUUGGUGGGGUAAAGGCUCACCAAGCCAACGAUCUGUAGCUGGUCUGAGAGGACGACCAGCCACACGGGAACUGAGAAACGGUCCAGACGCCUACGGGAGGCAGCAGUGGGGAAUUUUGGACAAUGGACGCAAGUCUGAUCCAGCCAUUCCGCGUGCAGGAUGAAGGCCCUCGGGUUGUAAACUGCUUUUGUACGGAACGAAAAGGUCUCUCUUAAUACGGGGGACUCAUGACGGUACCGUAAGAAUAAGCACCGGCUAACUACGUGCCAGCCGCCGCAGUAA